This 23-nucleotide non-coding RNA is filed under the name Arabidopsis thaliana (thale cress). The record is from RNAcentral. Lineage: Eukaryota; Viridiplantae; Streptophyta; Magnoliopsida; Brassicales; Brassicaceae.
AGCAAGAGACUCACCAUCGCCUA